UACGUAGGGGGCAAGCGUUGUCCGGAUUUAUUGGGCGUAAAGAGCUCGUAGGCGGCUCAGUAAGUCGGGUGUGAAACCUCCAGGCUCAACCUGGAGACGCCACCUGAUACUGCUGUGGCUAGAGUCCGGUAGGGGAGCGUGGAAUUCCUGGUGUAGCGGUGAAAUGCGCAGAUAUCAGGAGGAACACCGAUGGCGAAGGCAGGUCUCUGGGCCGAUACUGACGCUGAGGAGCGAAAGCGUGGGGAGCGAACAGG
RNAcentral lists this ribosomal RNA (254 nucleotides) under uncultured bacterium. RNAcentral's name for it is "partial 16S ribosomal RNA". It matches the Rfam family "Bacterial small subunit ribosomal RNA", at positions 524 to 776 of the family's 1533-position model. The record is from RNAcentral.